CCUACGGGGGGCAGCAGUGGGGAAUAUUGCACAAUGGGGGAAACCCUGAUGCAGCGACGCCGCGUGAGCGAAGAAGUAUCUCGGUAUGUAAAGCUCUAUCAGCAGGGAAGAAAAUGACGGUACCUGACUAAGAAGCCCCGGCUAACUACGUGCCAGCAGCCGCGGUAAUACGUAGGGGGCAAGCGUUAUCCGGAUUUACUGGGUGUAACGGGAGCGCAGGCGGCGCGGUAAGUCUGAUGUGAAAGCCCGGGGCUCAACCCCGGGACUGCAUUGGAAACUGGCGUGCUGGAGUGUCGGAGGGGCAAGUGGAAGUCCUAGUGUAGCGGUGAAAUGCGGAGAUAUUAGGAGGAACACCAGUGGCGAAGGCGGAUUGCUGGACGACAACUGACGCUGAGGCUCGAAAGCGUGGGGAGCAAACAGGAUUAGAUACCCGUGUAGUC
RNAcentral lists this ribosomal RNA (440 nucleotides) under uncultured bacterium. RNAcentral's name for it is "partial 16S ribosomal RNA". It matches the Rfam family "Bacterial small subunit ribosomal RNA", at positions 338 to 795 of the family's 1533-position model. The record is from RNAcentral.